GACAGCAGCCGCCGCGGUAAUACGGAGGGUGCAAGCGUUAUCCGGAUUUAUUGGGUUUAAAGGGUCCGUAGGCGGAUCUGUAAGUCAGUGGUGAAAUCUCACAGCUUAACUGUGAAACUGCCAUUGAUACUGCAGGUCUUGAGUAAAUUUGAAGUGGCUGGAAUAAGUUGUGUAGCGGUGAAAUGCAUAGAUAUUACUUAGAACACCAAUUGCGAAGGCAGGUCACUAAGAUUUAACUGACGCUGAUGGACGAAAGCGUGGGGAGCGAACAGGAUUAGAUACCCGGGUAGUCCCUGUCUCUUAUAC
This 306-nucleotide ribosomal RNA is filed under the name uncultured bacterium. Its description in RNAcentral is "partial 16S ribosomal RNA". It matches the Rfam family "Bacterial small subunit ribosomal RNA", at positions 507 to 807 of the family's 1533-position model. The record is from RNAcentral.